Molecule: unclassified non-coding RNA, 26 nt
Filed under: Mus musculus (house mouse)
Lineage: Eukaryota; Metazoa; Chordata; Mammalia; Rodentia; Muridae
Description: oocyte_clustered_small_RNA2847
Source: RNAcentral
AGCUGAAGGAAGUCUUCCCUCAACAG